CCCUUAGAUGUUCUGGGCUGCACGCGCGCUACACUGAAGCGUUCAACGAGUAUUCACCUUGCCCGGGAGGGUUGGGUAAUCUUUUGAAAACGCUUCGUGAUGGGGAUAGAUUAUUGCAAUUAUUAAUCUUCAACGGGGAAUUCCUAGUAAGCGCGAGUCAUCAGCUCGUGCUGAUUACGUCCCUGCCCUUUGUACACACCGCCCGUCGCUACUACCGAUUGAAUGGUUUAGUGAGGCCUUCGGAUCCGCGACUCGUUUCGUGGAGAAGUUGGACAAACUCAGUCAUUUAGAGGAAGUAAAAGUCGUANCA
RNAcentral lists this ribosomal RNA (310 nucleotides) under uncultured eukaryote. RNAcentral describes it as "partial 18S ribosomal RNA". It matches the Rfam family "Eukaryotic small subunit ribosomal RNA", at positions 1470 to 1796 of the family's 1831-position model. The record is from RNAcentral.